This 248-nucleotide long non-coding RNA is filed under the name Cavia porcellus (domestic guinea pig). RNAcentral describes it as "lncRNA (ENSCPOG00000030680.1)". Lineage: Eukaryota; Metazoa; Chordata; Mammalia; Rodentia; Caviidae. The record is from RNAcentral.
GUCAUAAUGGAAUGGGCCAUCAGCCGGCAGCCUGCAGAAUUUGGGGAACCUGCCUCCCCCAACCAUGAAUUUUUCAUGCCUCACCCGUCUCCAUCCCCUUCUCUCCCGGGGACUGCCUAACCAAAAAUGGGACUGAUAGCAUUCAAGCCUGUGCAGCACUGCAGCCGAUUAAUCAAUCUCAUGGAAGAAAAGCAAAUUAAAAGUCUUCACUGUAAAACUUAUCCAAGGGAUUAAUAUCUUGAUUCUGU